Molecule: long non-coding RNA, 616 nt
Filed under: Marmota monax (woodchuck)
Lineage: Eukaryota; Metazoa; Chordata; Mammalia; Rodentia; Sciuridae
Source: RNAcentral
GAACAUUUUCCUGCAGGUAUCAACCUAUCAAAAUGCUAUACACAGCGGCAGCAGGGGCCUGGAGGCUGAGAUCCACAGGCGUGUGCUGGUUUGUCAAGAUUGUGAGAAUAUCCACAGGGACCACAUGGGAGAGGCCGGAUGACCUGUAAGAUUGGGGUGCUCUGCGGAUGAAGGGUAGACUUUACCGGAGCAGCCAUUGCUAGAUGGCGUUGGACUAGCAAGUACAACACUACAAAUGUAACAGGCUCAGUAGGGGCUUUGCAAGUGGGUUUGCACUUCUAGGGGGAUGUGCUCUGUGUCUGGUUCUGUCGCUCUGUUGGUCUAUUUGGGCUAUGCUAGGGCUUCCAUGUUGUCUGUCCCUCAAGGUUUAUGGGAUGGCAGCUUGGCCCCACAGUGGGUGGUGGUACUAGGAAGUCCUGCAGAACUUUUGGGAGCUGGUGCCUAAUGGGAAGUCCUUAGUCCACUGCUGUGGGACCCCACUUAUUCUCUGGCUUCCUGUUUCUAGCGAUGCUCUCUUCCUCAGUCACCUGUGCUCCACCGUGGUGUGAAGGAGCCAAGAGGACUCUCACUGGAGCUGAGCUAACGCCAGUGCCUUCCCCUUGAACCUGCCAGAUUG